Molecule: long non-coding RNA, 5178 nt
Filed under: Sparus aurata (gilthead seabream)
Lineage: Eukaryota; Metazoa; Chordata; Actinopteri; Spariformes; Sparidae
Description: lncRNA (ENSSAUG00010009416.1)
Source: RNAcentral
AUGCCUCCUCUUAAAAAAAAAUUCAGACUUAUAGAUGGAACAUGGCAUGUUGCAGACAACAACACCAGUGAUGAUGACUGGGACUCUGAUGAUGAGAGAGCUGUGUCUAUUGGUAGUGAGGGUGUUCAUGGCAGAUAUAUUCGGUUUGCACGAAAAAAUGGUUUGCCUUAUGGUGAUAACGUGGCGGGCAAUGUCGACACGCUGUCUAGAUGGGCUAGAGUGCGGGCUAGACGCAUCGAUGCCUUGACAAGACGUGUGACACAUGCUGUCUCCUCCCAGAAUCGUACUGGUCGUACUGUUGCUAAUAGUGUUAAUUCUGCCCAUGCUGCUGCUUGUUCUAAUAUGUCUAUUGAGGGGCAGACUGCUGGAGAUACUGUUGGGGCUAACCGAGCUAAUUUGCCCUGCGUUACUGAAGAUACUGUUGUGGCUAACCGUGCUAAUCUGACCUGUGCUACUGCUGUAGAUACUGAUGUGGCUAACCGUGCUAAUCUGACCUGUGUUGCUGAAGAUACUGAUGUGGCUAUCCGCGCUAAUCUGACCUGUGCUGCUGCUGUAGAUACUGAUGUGGCUAACCACGCUAAUCUGACCUGUGCUGCUGCUGUAGAUACUGAUGUGGCUAACCGUGCUAAUCUGACCUGUGCUGCUGCUGUAGAUACUGAUGUGGCUAACCGUGCUAAUCUGACCUGUGCUGCUGCUGUAGAUACUGUUGGGGCUAACCGCGCUAAUCUGACCUGUGCUGCUGCUGUAGAUACUGAUGUGGCUAACCGUGCUAAUCUGACCUGUGCUGCUGAAGAUACUGAUGUGGCUAACCGUGCUAAUCUGACCUGUGCUGCUGCUGUAGAUACUGUUGGGGCUAACCGAGCUAAUUUGAUCUGUGCUACUGAAGAUACUGUUGUGGCUAACCGUGCAAAUCUGAUCUGUACUGCUGAAGAUACUGAUGUGGCUAACCGCGCUAAUCUGACCUGUGCUGUUGCUGUAGUUACUAUUGUGGCUAACCGGGCUAAUCUGACCUGUGAUGAUGAAGAAAUUGUUGUGAAUGCUUAUGCUAAUGUGACCCAUGGUGGUGGAGGUGCUUCUGCUAAUGUUUAUGCAAAUGAAAAUUCUUCUGAAACUGUUUGUGUUGGUGGCAAUAAUGUCUCUGUUAUUGAGAUAACCGACGAUGAUGAUGACAAUGCUAGUCUUGAUAGUUUGGGAGUUGAUACCUCAGUUAAUGUUGAUACUUACGCUGAUGCGGUUAUUGAGAUAAACGCUGAUGAUGUUGAUGUCGAAGUUAGUUCCGAUAGCCCCGGGUCUGAUAUUGUGGAUGUUACUAUUCAGGCUGACAGAGCUAUGAUGCAGAGCCAUGUAGACCCCCUCAGCUUUGGUGGUUCUUGUUCUAUAAAUCAGAUAGGCGGUGGUUGUGAUAGAGAAGUAGAACAGGAUGCAGGGGUUGGGCGUGAGUUGGGGUUCGUUUCCUCUGAUGAUGAUGAUGAUGAUGAUGAGGUGAGACCGUCGAUCCAAGUCCGUGACAUACCUAAUUUUAACGCAUUUGAGCUGCGCCAGCGUCUCGAUUUCAGAGACAUCAGUCUUGAAAACCCAGAGUUGGUUCCUAUGAGAAUCAGAGAGAGGUUGUCUGGUGUGAUUGAGCAUGCAUUAGGUAGGGCACAUCCCGGUAGUAUUUUAAACGCUGUGUUGAGAGGGCCAUCCCUUGCCAGUGACGUACAGGCUAUUUUAAAUUCUGACAAUCAAUACAAUACCGAUUUGUUUCUCGAAGAAAUUUCCCAAGUUUUACAGAGUAAUGAUACGUCCAUGUCUGAUGACGAAUUGGAGUUUAUUGUCACAACAGUGCAAAAUAGAAGCGGAGGAAAGCGUAAGAGUAUUAAUAAAAUACCGUACGAUAAGAUUUUGUCUGAGAAAACACGUUUUCUAUACAAUCCUGACAACACUGGAGACAAUAAUCUAUGCUUCAGUCUCUGUCUAGCGCGUUUUAAGAAAAAUCAAAAAGAAGAGGAGAAACAAAAACUGCUUAAACAAACAUCAAAUGAGCAAAGACUGAUUGAACAACCAUUGAACGAAUCAGCAUAUGCAGAAAACGUUCAUCUGAAAAUUAUGGGUGAUCUCACAAGCUGUGUGUCCUUUGAUAAAGUGGCUGCAUUUGAGAGGGAGAUAAAAGCAAAAAUCAUAGUAUUCCACCACACAGAUGGUCGCAAGCGUCUGGAGUGUUACAAAACACAUGACGAGACCAACAAACAUACUGUCUGGCUAUACCUGAGGAAUAGUCAUUAUUAUUUGAUAGAAAAGCCGACAGGAUUCUUUGGCUCCGCAUAUGUGUGCAAUUAUUGUUACGAGACAUAUGAAGCAGUCCUGAGUCACUGCUGUAAACUCAGAUGCAAUGUCUGCUUUACAGACGCAUGCCACAGACAUCCAACCAAAACUGUGAAAUGUAGUGAUUGCAAACGUAUAUGCAGAUCUGCUUUUUGUCUCGAGCAACACAAGAUGCUGGAGAAAACACAUGAAACAAUACCGUGUGAUAGGCUUAAGUAUUGUAGCACAUGCGGCAGUGUGUACACAGUGAGAAAAAACGGUAAUAUACACAAAUGUCGACCUGCUAGGUGUCGACACUGCAAUGAGGAAAUAAUGGAUGUCAAGGCACCCCACCAAUGCUAUAUCCAACCUAUGAAAAAGAAAAAGCCGACAGAUAAAUACCUGGUAUUUGAUUUUGAGACUCGAUACCACAACGGUAGGCAUGAAGCAAAUUUUUGCUGUGUGAAAGACCUUAAUGGUAAAAACAUGUACUGUUUCCCCGGCCUAAAUUGUGUAGAAUCAUUUGUGGGGCGCUAUCGAAAACCCAAAUUUUGUGAAUACACAUUCAUUGCCCACAACGCAUCAGGGUUUGACAAUUAUAUUUUGCUAGAAUAUAUGGUAAAACAAGGGAUCACACCGGAACUGACAAUGCGUGGUAGCAGAGUCAUUUUGAUGUACGACAAGGCAUACAAACAGCGUUGGAUAGAUUCUUUCAGUUUUCUACCCAUGCGUUUGUCAAAAAUACCAUCAGCACUAGGAUUUGAGGACAUGAUGAAAGGUUAUUUCCCUCACAAGUUUAACACACGGGGAAAUGAGAAGUAUGUGGGUCCCUAUCCAGAACCGUACUACUAUGGUUAUGAUAGUAUGAGUGAGGGCGAAAAAUCCACAUUCAUGGCAUGGUAUAACACCGUCUGCAAAGAAACCUUCGACUUUGAGAAAGAGAUUCAGCGGUACUGCGUCAACGAUGUGGAUGUCUUACUCAGAGGAUGUAGUAUCUAUCAGGAUACUUUUAAGAAAUGCACAGAACUUGAUCCCUUUGUGUUUACCACAUUGGCAUCUAGUUGUAUGGGUGUGUUUAAAACAUUGUUUCUGGAGAAAAACACACUCGCUCUCACUCAUGACGGGGCAUACGUGGGUCAGUAUAAGGCGUAUUCAGACGUGUCUAUACAGUGGCUUGAAUAUCUGAGUCACACCCGGAAGGUUGAGAUAAGACACGCCGUCAACCAUGGUGAACAUCAGAUAGGUCCAUACUUUGUGGAUGGUUAUCAACCUGAUACAAAAAAGUGUUAUGAAUUUGCAGGAUGUUUCUACCACGGGUGUGUCAAGUGUUAUGCUCAAGCUGGUUUGAAUCCUGUGACCAGAGAGACUUACGGUGUGCUCUAUGGGCAGUUCAUGUCAAAGGUAAAUGAUUUGAAGGUUAGAUAUGGUCAUGCUGUUGAAGUGAUGUGGGAGUGUGAAUGGCUCCAGCAUAGUAAGAAUGAUUUAAGCGUUCAAACGUUUCUACAGAGUUACAGGAAACCAGAGCGUCUGGACCCCCGAGAGGCUCUGUUUGGGGGCCGUACAAAUGCAUUGAAGUUGUAUCACAAGGUGUCAGAUGGUGAGAAGGUGAGAUAUUAUGACUUCACCAGUCUGUACCCGGCUGUGAACUCACAAAAACAGUAUCCGAUUGGUCACCCUCAGAUUAUCUAUAGGAAUUUUGAUUCCAUUGAUAAGUACUUUGGUUUUGUGAAGUGUGAUGUGCUCCCGCCGAGAGGAUUAUUCCAUCCAGUCCUACCCUACAGGUGUCACAAAAAACUCAUGUUCCCAUUAUGUCGUACCUGCGCCGAGGAGUUGAACCAAACCAGUGACUGUACACACAGUGACCAAGACAGACAUUUGUCAGGUGUGUGGGUCUCGUUUGAGCUUCAGAAAGCAGUUGAAAAAGGAUACAAGAUUGUGAACAUUGACGAGGUGUGGCAUUUCCCCAACAAGACAGAUACAUUGUUCAAAGACUAUGUUAAGACAUUUCUCAAAUGUAAACAGGAGGCCUCCGGCUAUCCAGGGCAUGUCAAAACGCCUGAGGAAAAGGAGCGAUACAUUGAGGAAUAUUUCAAAAAGGAGGGUAUCCAGCUAGACCCAGACAAAAUCUGUGUCAACAAGGCAGUGAGGAGUUGCAACAAGCUUCUGCUGAACUCGUUGUGGGGUAGAUUUAGCAUGAGGAAUAAUCUGCCGGCAUGUGAGUUGAUUACAGAUUCACAAAGAUUCACGCAGCUUAUGUUCGGUGAUCAAUAUGAUGUGCGCCAGUUUUGUUUUAUAUCAGAUGAUGUGGCUAUGGUGCAGUGGUGCCAUGCUGACCUUAAAGCAGCCCGAACGAAAGACGUAAAUGUCUUUAUCGGUGCCUUUACCACGGCUCAUGCACGCCUCAUGCUUUAUGAUGUGAUGGAGAAGCUAGAUCAGAGGGUGUUGUAUUGUGAUACGGACAGCGUUAUUUUUACUUCCCGGCCGGGGGAGUGGGUACCUCCUUUAGGUGAAUACCUGGGUGAUUUGACUGAUGAGUUGAAUGAUGGCGAUGUGUGUAACCUCCCUGAAGAAGACUACAUCACAGAAUUUGUGUCAGGGGGUCCAAAAUGUUAUGCCUAUCACACUGUUUGCGGCAAAACAAUGGUCAAAUGUAAGGGUGUGACACUAAACUCCAAAAAUACAUCAACGGUCACCCAUAAGUCUCUGGUGGGUCUGGUUCAGGCUUUUGUCGCCAAUCAGAAUACAGACGCACACGUGAUGACUGUUUCUGAAACCAUUAAAAGAGACAAAAAGCACUUCCACCUCAAGAAUGACACAGUUACAAAAAAAAUUCACGUUGUCUACAACAAACGCAGGGUAUUGGACGAUUACACUACUGUACCUUAUGGCUAUUAG